CCUACGGGUGGCUGCAGUGGGGAAUAUUGGACAAUGGGCGAAAGCCUGAUCCAGCCAUGCCGCGUGUGUGAAGAAGGCCUUCGGGUUGUAAAGCACUUUCAGUGGGGAAGAAAGCCUUGGGGCUAAUACCCUCGAGGAAGGACAUCACCCACAGAAGAAGCACCGGCUAACUCCGUGCCAGCAGCCGCGGUAAUACGGAGGGUGCGAGCGUUAAUCGGAAUUACUGGGCGGAAAGCGCGCGUAGGCGGUCUGAUAAGCCGGUUGUGAAAGCCCCGGGCUCAACCUGGGAACGGCAUCCGGAACUGUCAGGCUAGAGUGCAGGAGAGGAAGGUAGAAUUCCCGGUGUAGCGGUGAAAUGCGUAGAGAUCGGGAGGAAUACCAGUGGCGAAGGCGGCCUUCUGGACUGACACUGACGCUGAGGUGCGAAAGCGUGGGUAGCAAACAGGAUUAGAUACCCUUGUAGUC
RNAcentral lists this ribosomal RNA (465 nucleotides) under Vreelandella stevensii. RNAcentral's name for it is "partial 16S ribosomal RNA". It matches the Rfam family "Bacterial small subunit ribosomal RNA", at positions 338 to 795 of the family's 1533-position model. The record is from RNAcentral. Lineage: Bacteria; Pseudomonadati; Pseudomonadota; Gammaproteobacteria; Oceanospirillales; Halomonadaceae.